GAUCCUGGCUCAGAUUGAACGCUGGCGGCAGGCUUAACACAUGCAAGUCGAGCGGGGAAAGGUAGCUUGCUACCUGACCUAGCGGCGGACGGGUGAGUAAUGCUUAGGAAUCUGCCUAUUAGUGGGGGACAACAUCUCGAAAGGGAUGCUAAUACCGCAUACGUCCUACGGGAGAAAGCAGGGGACCUUCGGGCCUUGCGCUAAUAGAUGAGCCUAAGUCGGAUUAGCUAGUUGGUGGGUAAGGCCU
This 247-nucleotide ribosomal RNA is filed under the name uncultured bacterium. RNAcentral describes it as "partial 16S ribosomal RNA". It matches the Rfam family "Bacterial small subunit ribosomal RNA", at positions 15 to 266 of the family's 1533-position model. The record is from RNAcentral.